ACCACAUUAUGCUAUCUUUAUGUACAAAUCCUUGCUCAACAUAGGUAUCUAGUGAUUGUCUAGCAAUCAGCCUACAUGGUUUGUUGAGCUUUAGUGAAGGGCAGAUUUUUGUACUCACCUAAUGGAACGCUUCCGCCGACUUUGGAAAAAAGGCGCAAAGAAUGAUUUUCCAAACAGGUUCAUCUUUAUUGGGAAUACUAUUCCGGAUGGAGUUCAACCUCCGAUUCAUUAUGAUCAGAAAAAGUAUCCGGAUAAUGAAGUUAUUUCCUCCAAGUACACCGUCGUGAACUUUCUACCGAAGAACUUAUUUGAACAAUUUCGCCGGAUAGCAAAUACAUAUUUUCUUCUCAUUGGCAUCAUCAUGAUCGUGAUCAACAGUCCCGUCAGCCCGUGGACAACUUGGCUGCCGCUGCUUUUCGUUGUGAUCAUAACGGGAGCAAAACAAGGCUAUGAAGACUUCCUACGACACGUCAGAGACCGUGAAGUCAACUUGCAGAACAUUGACGUUAUUCGUAAUGGAACAAUUCGAAAAAUUAAAGCGAAAGAAAUCCGUGUUGGUGAUAUUGUGAAAAUCAAACAAGAUGAAAGUUUCCCGUGCGACCUAGUGUUGCUGUCGUCUUCCAACAACGAGGGAAAAUGUUAUUUGACUACGGCUAAUUUAGACGGUGAAACUAACUACAAGGUUAAGAUCAGCACAAGAACAACCAGAGAUUUUGAUGAGCCAGAAAAAUUGAAUCAUUUAAGAGGGAACAUUGAGUGUCAACAGCCAACGGUGAACUUGUACCAAUUUAUAGGAACCCUGACCGUUUACCAAUGCGAUUCUUCGAACGCGAUUAGUUCCGUAAAAGCCUCUUUGGGACUUGACAACCUUUUACUUCGAGGAGCCAAGCUCAAGGACACGGAAUUUAUCUACGGGUGUGCCGUGUAUACUGGCCAACAAACUAAACUCGGCCUUAACUCACUUAUAACGAGCAAUAAGUUUUCGACCGUCGAAAGGAGCAUGAAUCGCUAUCUUUUAGUUUUCAUGGGUCUUCUCGCGCUGGAAAUAGCCCUUUGUACUAUGCAGAAAUAUUUGUUCCUCUCAAAUUUAGACGGUGCGUUUUAUCUAGGAGAGAACGAAACUGUGUCAGUGGUUCGCGUGUUGGCCGAUAUAUCAGCUUUUCUUGUCAUUUUCAGCUAUAUCGUACCUAUUUCUCUAUAUACUACUUUAGAAGUACAAAAAUUCACGAGCAGUCAAUUUUUCGGAUGGGACCUUAAUCUGUACUGUGAGUCGACUGAUGAACCUGCGAUUUGUAACACGUCUGACUUGAACGAAGAACUGGGACAAGUUCAGUAUCUUUUUACCGAUAAAACUGGAACGCUAACAGAAAAUUGCAUGGAAUUCCGUCAGUGUUCAAUUGCGGGUAAAAAAUACACCGAAAGAAAUGGUAUGCUUAUGGUUGAAUUGGAGGACGGCUUUCGACACGUUGAACAGUUUUCGUCAUCAGAGGAGCAAUUCCUGAUCACACUAGCCCUGUGUCAUACUGCUACCGUAAUCGGUCUUCGUAAAAGCAACAAAGAACAAGAAAACAAGUUUGGAAAUGACAAUCCAACCUUUAUUGCUGACAGGAGAGAUUUCGAGUACCAAGCAUCCAGCCCAGACGAGAAAGCACUCAUUGAAGCCUGUCAAAAGUUUGGAAUAACCUAUUGCGGAGAGAUUGGUGGCGUUUGCACCAUCUGUAUCAAAGGUGAAAGGCGGAGUUACCGCCGCUUGCACGUUUUAGAAUUUGACGCUAACCGGAAGCGAAUGUCGGUGAUAGUUCAAUUUCCAGACGAUUCGAUUUGGUUACUUUGUAAGGGUGCCGAAAGUACAGUAUUGCCUCAUUGUCUGGCUGGAUCAACAACCGCAACUGAACAACACAUUAAAGACUAUGCAAUACUCGGUCUGCGAACAUUGACGAUAGCAUCGCGUCGUCUAAGUUCAGAAGAAUACCAAGAAAUCGACAAUUUACUGGAAGGCGCUAGCCAAUCGAUGACAAACAGAGAGGAGGAAUUGGCAAGAUCUUUCAAUGUUAUUGAGGCUCAUCUGACGUUGCUAGGAGCAACUGGAGUAGAGGAUCAACUUCAAGAGGAAGUGCAAGAAACGCUUGAAUCUCUUAAGGUUGCAGGAAUUAAGAUAUGGGUGCUUACUGGUGAUAAGUUGGAAACCGCUGUUAACAUAGCACAUUCUUGUGGCCAUUUCAAACGCGGUAUGCACAUUUUCGAAUUGAGCAUAUCGGAUAGCGUAGAAGAAAUUUUACUUCAAACUAGGAAAACUAUACGAAAUGAACAAGAUCUCCAUUACGGAAUGGUGGUUGAUGGCCAUUGCCUUGCCAUAGCAUUGAUUCAUCAUCGAGCUCUUUUAGCCGACGUGACAAAACACUGUGAAGCUGUUGUCUGUUGUCGGAUGUCACCUAUCCAAAAGGCCGAGGUGGUGAAGCUGGUCAAAGAAUUCCCAGAAAAACCUACCACAGCAGCCAUCGGAGACGGGGCGAAUGAUGUGUCCAUGAUUCAAGAAGCUCAUAUUGGAUUAGGUAUAAUGGGCAAAGAAGGUAGACAGGCUGUUCGUUGCGCGGACUUUGCCUUUGCACGUUUCCAUUAUUUGCGCCGGGUUUUAUUCAUUCAUGGUCAGUGGUAUUACUGGCGUAUCUCUUCAUUGGCUAUGUAUUUUUUCUACAAGAACGUCGUAUUUAACACACCGGUCGUCUUCUUUUGUAUAUUCUGUGCCUACUCUACACAGCCAGUUUAUGAUAGUUUUCUGUUAACUAUGUACAACAUUACUUUCACGGGUUUGCCCGUGUUUCUGUUCACUGUUUUGGACCAGAACUUCACAGAACAACAGCUUUUAAGCAAUCUUCACUUGUACGGUUCAACAGCAGGGGACGCUCGCAUGAGCUGGUCUCAAUUUCUUAAGUGGAACAUCUUAGCUCUCUGGCACGCAAUCGUGAUUUACUUCGGGACGCAUUUGUUGUAUUACUACGAAUGUGAUGUUGUCUAUGAUGGUCAACCACUGGACUUUGUGACAUUUGGCACAAUCAUGUGUCAAGUUGUCGCCUGGGUGACAAAUUUAAAGCUCCUGCUGGAGUCGCGUCACUGGACUCUUUUAUUCGCAGCCUCCGUAGCCAUCUCUAUUCUUCUAGGCUUUUCAGCCGUUGUACUCCUCUAUUGCGCUUAUGACUAUAAAUUCGUCGAGAGUAACGCCAUGUUGUGGAUUUACAUGGUAUCUUCAUCUUCCCCCGCUGCUUGGUUAUUGCAUUUCUUGUUGGUUGUUCUUUGUCUAUUACCGGAUCUUCUUGUGGUAAUGGCUGAAACACAGAUUAUCCGCGACGGCAUUGUUUCUAGUCAAUCCUCAAUCCAACGGGCUAAUGGAAAACUAGAACGGAUCGUGUCCUUCAUGAGUCAGCGAUCAAAGAAGUCGGUCGAUAUAGGCUUGUCUCACCGGCGGAACUCAAAGAUGACCUAAAGACAAAACUAUGAAAAUCCAAGACACAGUCUAGAUCCAUAAAUUAUUUCUCUGCUUUGAAGCCGACAUUCAAUCAUUCGACACCAAAGUUCGUAAGGAUCACGGAAAUUAUAUUCGUCGAUACUUAAUCUUCUAUGCGAUCAAGCGUUCUGUAGUUCUUGGCCUUUUUCGUUGGCUUCCAAGAAAAUUGCAUAUAUAAAUUUAAUAAAGUGAAAAAAAAAAAACUAUUUCCUACCAAAUAGCUAAUAAUAAUAAUAAUAGCUAUUAGUUUUCCGUCUUUUUCUCCUAUCUAUAGUGCUACUGGUUAGUCUUAGACAGUUUUGCAUGUUUUCUUGGUUAUUGUGCUCAAAAGUAGAUGAAAGCCCUUAAGAAAGUUGUGUACAUUAUUAGUAUUGAAAAAAUAAUGGAAAUUUCCGGUGGUUUACUCACCAGUUUUCAUUCUUUGUCCCUUUGUCCAUUAGCCUUUUCUUACUUUACAGUAUAAUUUUGAAACUGGCUCUAGAUACACAAUAGACUAGCAGACGAAUUUAUGACAGUAGAUUUAUCGAGAGAUUCGAAACGUUUUAUGCGGGGGGAGGUAGUAAAUGUUCAGUGCGUUCCGUACUUCCGUUUUAAACAUUCUUUUGGAUUUUUAUUACUUUAGAUCAGUUGUUUUUACAAGUGGUGAUUGAUUCCACAAUUUCAGCUUCCCAGGCAGAUACCCAUUCACAAAGCCAUGGGUGAUAGAUGAUAUAAAAUUAUAAUUGAUAAAAAAAAAUACUUGCUGAGAUUGAAUGCAAUAAUUUUGUUAUCGUAAACUGACCAUUGUGUUGAAAAAGCAAAAAUGGAUAUUCAAAAUGAAGUUAACAGGCAUCAUGAUUUAAUACUAAAUGAAUGACAGAUCCUUUCAUUCACUAAGUCUUGGUGGUCAACCAAGAUGGUGUCAGGAACACAGUACACAGUGACUUUUGUGUCUUU
Molecule: unclassified non-coding RNA, 4438 nt
Filed under: Daphnia magna
Lineage: Eukaryota; Metazoa; Arthropoda; Branchiopoda; Diplostraca; Daphniidae
Description: phospholipid-transporting ATPase IF, transcript variant X2
Source: RNAcentral